CUACGAAAAUGUAAACAAAUGAAAAUUCAGUAUCAAUAAUGCAAAUGAAGAUAAAGAAGAAACCAAGGAUUACGUUGCAACAAUAAAAGUGGAAGUGAAAGCCCCGAGUAGGAAGCCAGCAACGCCGACAUAUUUAUUGUGGAGUGAAUAGGUACAAAUUGAAGUAAAAAAUUACACUCCUCAACAAGACUUUGUUCCUGGCAAUCAAAUCGCUCUAUUCUGAUGGCUUAUAUCCUCAUUUUAAACCUUGUAGGAAUAAGAAGGGGCGACUCCAGCGAUGUCGCAGAAGUCUGAAAAGCUUCGCUUUGCAACCUAUCCGACAUGCUUCACUUGACGAGAUGGGGAUAUACAAGUCGAGAGUUGUUAUAAAGUUGAGGAAUCUCUUUACUUGGUGGUCAUUUAUAGCCAAGCCAAAUACAAAUACAAGUUGAAUUAAUUGCAGCGUGUGAAAGCAGUAGCACAUUCACGUAAUGUGCCACCAUCUUUGCAAUGCAAAGCACUUCUUUGAGCCAGCUACGGAUAGGCGAAAGAUCGCAAUGUAUGCAAGUCCUUCCUGAUCAUGUGAACAAUAGUUAAUUUAAUCUACAGUCAGUUUUUCAAGACAGUACCUACCACCGAGGAUUGGACAAUUGAUCUGAUUCACUAUGUUCUUUUUUGCAGAAAUGCACAUUUGAAUACCUUCCUUUUACAUUUUUUGGCGAACUCUGUGAUGUAGUUGGUCUCUGGAAUUCAAUUGAAAUACCUUCCUUCAUUCAUGAUUUAUUGCUUUCAAUGCGUCAAUAUCUUUAAUUCAAUUCUGCCUCUUGUUACCAACGAAGAAGGAGACAAGUUCGGAAAAUCUGCUGGCGAUGGUAUUUGGCUGGACGAAGAAAAAACGUCGCCUUUUUCUCUUUAUCAAUUCUUUUUGAAAAUGCCAGAUUCUGAAGUCGAGAAUCUUCUCAAGUUGUUCACGUUGUUCAAGUUGUUUUAUCCCACUGGAAGAAAUUGCAUUUCUCAUUUAACAACACAAAAAAUCACAAACGAUUCUAGCUGAAGAUGUGACGCUUCUAGUCCAUUGAGAGGCGGGUCUAAAACAAGCCGAAAAAGUCACAGAAGCGCUCUACAAGGCAAAUUUUGAAGGACUAGGUGAACUGAAUUACAAUUAAAUCCUAUCGUUAAGAUUUUUCCAGAGCCUGGACUAUCCAAUCUUGAUCUGGCACUAAAAGCUUAAUGAUUUACAACAGAGACUGAUACGAUGAGAAUCAUCACAGCUGGAGGGUUCUAUAUCAAGUAAUAGCGAACUCAAAACUUCGCACUAACAUCACACUAACUCAUCAGCACUAACAUCACAUACCAUUUCUAUCUAUUAGUUCAAAAUGUUAAAUGUCUCCUUUUUGUUGGCAAUGAUGAGCAUAUG
This is a long non-coding RNA of Eupeodes corollae, 1396 nucleotides long. RefSeq lists it as uncharacterized. The record is from RefSeq and is a predicted model, not a curated record. NCBI's taxonomy places the organism in Eukaryota, Metazoa, Arthropoda, Insecta, Diptera, Syrphidae. The transcript is spliced from 6 exons.